GAUGAAGAACGUAGCGAAAUGCGAUAAGUAAUGUGAAUUGCAGAAUUCAGUGAACCAUCGAAUCUUUGAACGCACAUUGCGCCCCUUGGUAUUCCGAGGGGCAUGCCUGUUCGAGCGUCAUUAUAACCCCUCAAGCUCAGCUUGGUGUUGGGGCCUGCUGCACUGGCAGCCCUUAAAAUCAGUGGCGGCGCCAUCUGGCUCUAAGCGUAGUAAUUCUUCUCGCUAUGGAGUCCUGGUGGAUGCUUGCCAUCAACCCCCAAUUUUUCUAUGGUUGACCUCGGAUCAGGUAGGGAUACCCGCUGAACUUAAGCAUAUCAAUAAGCGGAGGA
This 329-nucleotide unclassified non-coding RNA is filed under the name soil metagenome. Its description in RNAcentral is "partial contains 5.8S ribosomal RNA, internal transcribed spacer 2, and large subunit ribosomal RNA". The stretch from base 1 to 120 matches the Rfam family "5.8S ribosomal RNA", at positions 35 to 154 of the family's 154-position model. The record is from RNAcentral.